GGGGCUAGGGGGCAGCUACAAUGCAGUCGAGCGGUAGCACAGAGAGCUUGCUCUCGGGUGACGAGCGGCGGACGGGUGAGUAAUGUCUGGGAAACUGCCUGAUGGAGGGGGAUAACUACCGGAAACGGUAGCUAAUACCGCAUAACGUCGCAAGACCAAAGUGGGGGACCUUCGGGCCUCAUGCCAUCAGAUGUGCCCAGAUGGGAUUAGCUAGUAGGUGGGGUAAGCUUUGGCAAUGCUCUUCGAGAGUCUAUUGCUCUUCCUAGCAGAUCCAAGCGGUUCCAAGAGUGACACGCCCACCUGAAACUGAGAUCUGUUCCAACUCUCUUCGGAGUCAGCAGGGGUAUCUUUGCCAAUCGGGCCAGGCCUGAUGCAAGCCAUGCGUGAUGUGUUGAGGCUGGUCCUCGGGGGUGUACAAGUACAUUUAGUCAACGAGGGAAGUGGCGUAAAGCUUAUAUAGCACUCGUGUGUUUGACGGUUACUCGCUAGAAGCAAAAACCAGCUUUCUUCCUUUCCCAGUGACCGCAGUAAAAGUAAAGGGGCCAGCGUUUAUUUUCAAUUUAUAGGCCUAAAGCCACGCCCCAGGCGGUCCGCCCCGUCAGAUUGGAAAUCCCCGGCCCAGCGAGUCCCCUCCAUACGAGACUGGCAGGAUUUAGUCUGAGAGAGGGAGGUUUACUGCCAGACCUAGCGAAUUAAAUACGUAUUUAUGUGGAGACAUACCGGGGGAGAAGGCGCCCUUUGCUACAAAGACUGACGCUCAGGUGCGAAAGCGUGGGGAGCAAACAGGAUUAGAUACCCUGGUAGUCCACGCAAUAAACGAUGUCGACUUGGAGGUUGCGCCCUUGAGGCGUGGCUUCCGGAGCUAACGCGUUAAGUCGACCGCCUGGGGAGUACGGCCGCAAGGUUAAAACUCAAAUGAAUUGACGGGGGCCCGCACAAGCGGUGGAGCAUGUGGUUUAAUUCGAUGCAACGCGAAGAACCUUACCUACUCUUGACAUCCAGAGAACUUAGCAGAGAUGCUUUGGUGCCUUCGGGAACUCUGAGACAGGUGCUGCAUGGCUGUCGUCAGCUCGUGUUGUGAAAUGUUGGGUUAAGUCCCGCAACGAGCGCAACCCUUAUCCUUUGUUGCCAGCGGUCCGGUCGGGAACUCAAAGGAGACUGCCAGUGAUAAACUGGAGGAAGGUGGGGAUGACGUCAAGUCAUCAUGGCCCUUACGAGUAGGGCUACACACGUGCUACAAUGGCAUAUACAAAGAGAAGCGACCUCGCGAGAGCAAGCGGACCUCAUAAAGUAUGUCGUAGUCCGGAUUGGAGUCUGCAACUCGACUCCAUGAAGUCGGAAUCGCUAGUAAUCGUAGAUCAGAAUGCUACGGUGAAUACGUUCCCGGGCCUUGUACACACCGCCCGUCACACCAUGGGAGUGGGUUGCAAAAGAAGUAGGUAGCUUAACCUUCGGGAGGGCGCUACCACUUGAAUUUAUUGCCC
This 1484-nucleotide ribosomal RNA is filed under the name Klebsiella aerogenes. RNAcentral's name for it is "bacterial SSU rRNA". It matches the Rfam family "Bacterial small subunit ribosomal RNA". The record is from RNAcentral. Lineage: Bacteria; Pseudomonadati; Pseudomonadota; Gammaproteobacteria; Enterobacterales; Enterobacteriaceae.